GUGAUUACUUUAGCAGCACAUAUACAUUAAUUGUUACAAUACAGAGAAGAUAAGCAUGGCCCAAUGCAAGGAAGACAAGCAAAUUUGUGAAUCAUCCCAUAUUUGU
This 106-nucleotide small nuclear RNA is filed under the name Dasypus novemcinctus (nine-banded armadillo). Lineage: Eukaryota; Metazoa; Chordata; Mammalia; Cingulata; Dasypodidae. The record is from RNAcentral.